RNAcentral lists this ribosomal RNA (253 nucleotides) under uncultured bacterium. RNAcentral describes it as "partial 16S ribosomal RNA". It matches the Rfam family "Bacterial small subunit ribosomal RNA", at positions 524 to 776 of the family's 1533-position model. The record is from RNAcentral.
UACGAAGGGUGCAAGCGUUACUCGGAAUUACUGGGCGUAAAGCGUGCGUAGGUGGUGAGUUAAGUCAGACGUGAAAUCCCUCGGCUCAACCGGGGAACUGCGUCUGAUACUGGGUGGCUUGAAUCCGGGAGAGGGAUGCGGAAUUCCAGGUGUAGCGGUGAAAUGCGUAGAGAUCCGGAGGAACACCAGAGGCGAAGGCGGCCUACUGGGCUGCACCUGACGCUGAGCCGCGAAAGCCAGGGGAGCGAACGGG